UACGAAGGGGGCUAGCGUUGCUCGGAAUCACUGGGCGUAAAGGGUGCGUAGGCGGGUUCUUAAGUCAGAGGUGAAAUCCUGGAGCUCAACUCCAGAACUGCCUUUGAUACUGAGAGUCUUGAGUACGGGAGAGGUGAGUGGAACUGCGAGUGUAGAGGUGAAAUUCGUAGAUAUUCGCAAGAACACCAGUGGCGCAGGCGGCUCACUGGCCCGUUACUGACGCUGAGGCACGAAAGCGUGGGGAGCAAACAGG
This 253-nucleotide ribosomal RNA is filed under the name uncultured bacterium. RNAcentral describes it as "partial 16S ribosomal RNA". It matches the Rfam family "Bacterial small subunit ribosomal RNA", at positions 524 to 776 of the family's 1533-position model. The record is from RNAcentral.